AUGAUGAAGGAAUUGCAAAUGAGACAUAUGAAGAAAAACCAUUGAAGAGAAGUGAACAGCAAAAUAUUAACCAUUGAAUGCACAACAAAGAUUCAAAGAGAAAUCAUGGGAAUCACUGAUAAACUUUGUCAAGCAUUGCAACAAAAAUCUCAAGACAUUUUGAAUGCUAUGCAUCUGGUUUCUAGUACAAAGUCAUUAAUUCAAUAGUUAAGAGAUAAUAGUUGGGGAG
Non-coding RNA from Arachis ipaensis, 229 nucleotides. The record is from RefSeq and is a predicted model, not a curated record. Lineage: Eukaryota; Viridiplantae; Streptophyta; Magnoliopsida; Fabales; Fabaceae.